This 497-nucleotide ribosomal RNA is filed under the name uncultured bacterium. RNAcentral describes it as "partial 16S ribosomal RNA". It matches the Rfam family "Bacterial small subunit ribosomal RNA", at positions 28 to 507 of the family's 1533-position model. The record is from RNAcentral.
GAUGAACGCUGGCGGCGUGCCUAAUACAUGCAAGUCGAGCGAACGGACGAGGAGCUUGCUCCUCUGACGUUAGCGGCGGACGGGUGAGUAACACGUGGAUAACCUACCUAUAAGACUGGGAUAACUUCGGGAAACCGGAGCUAAUACCGGAUAAUAUAUUGAACCGCAUGGUUCAAUAGUGAAAGACGGUUUUGCUGUCACUUAUAGAUGGAUCCGCGCCGCAUUAGCUAGUUGGUAAGGUAACGGCUUACCAAGGCAACGAUGCGUAGCCGACCUGAGAGGGUGAUCGGCCACACUGGAACUGAGACACGGUCCAGACUCCUACGGGAGGCAGCAGUAGGGAAUCUUCCGCAAUGGGCGAAAGCCUGACGGAGCAACGCCGCGUGAGAGAUGAAGGUCUUCGGAUCGUAAAACUCUGUUAUUAGGGAAGAACAAAUGUGUAAGUAACUAUGCACGUCUUGACGGUACCUAAUCAGAAAGCCACGGCUAACUACGUG